Molecule: long non-coding RNA, 1488 nt
Organism: Sapajus apella (tufted capuchin)
Lineage: Eukaryota; Metazoa; Chordata; Mammalia; Primates; Cebidae
Exons: 3
Source: RefSeq, a predicted model, not a curated record
UAGUGUCCUUUCCCCAUUAUUUAUUUUUGUUGUCUUUAAGAUUAGUUGGUUGUAGGUAUGUGGCUUUAUUCCUGUAGACUAUCUGCAAUACCCUUCAGCUACACAAAUAAGCAAAAAAGUACAAACCAAAAGCUGCAAUAUAGCCUUACUAAAUUAGCUAAAACUCUUUCAACACUCAUUGUUGAAGGAACAGAGAGAGAAAAAAAUCAUACCACAAUGUCAAUGGUUAUGUAGGUAUUGAAAUUUUUUUGUUACAUUCUUCUGAAAUUUUCUAAUGUUCCUCAAUAAGCAUGUAUUACCUUUCUAAUCAGAAAAAUAAACUUUAAAAAAUUGAGUGGGCUUUGGAUGCCAUGUGUACCUUCAUCUGCAUACAGUAUAAAGACAUACCUAACCUCUUCACUCUUCAGACAUACCGAAAACCACCGCAGUCUACACGUAUGCCCCAAAUUACUAUUUUCUUCCCAAAUAAAAUAUUCUAAUUUCAAAAAUUCAUCUCUACAUUCUGACUCCACAGCUUUUAGUACUUAAUAAUGUUUUUGUUUUUAGUUGACAAAAAUUAUAGUAUACAACAAGAUGUUUUGAAAAAUGUAUACACUGUGGAAUGGUUAGAUAAAGCUAACAUAUGCACCCUUCGGCUCUUUAAAAACUAACGUCCAAUUCAUCUAUCAACGACCAAUCAAAAUUCCGUGAGAGUAACGCCUUUGCUUAGCUUUCCAGUCCUGUUAAACGGUGAGAGAAAAAAGGGUCCCCAUGACCCUGCCCAACAAGACGCCACGCAGCCAGAAAACGCCAAGUGACCCCCAGGCAGAUACUUCCGGAAGAAAUCGGCUCUCCGAACCUGGAAGUGAAGACAGAAAACGCACGGAAUUCUGGGAAGCGUUACGGAGGCGGGAUUGCGUUUGCUGGCUGUUACCACGACAACCGGAGGCGAUUGACCGUUAUCUGCGGUUUGGAGCCGUUAGCGCGAGAGGUGGAGAUGUUCAGAGGUCAUUUAGGAUGAGCUAAAGGGUCGUGGGGGCUCUCUUAAGAUUAUCUUAACAAGAGGUUUCCGGUCGUGCCCCGCGCCCCAGCCGCUGGACGGGGGGAUCUGAGUCGCACUCUCUCGUUUUUCUGAGUCAGCCUUAAGGUGAAAUGAAGUGUGGCCCAGUGACUUCACUGUCGCUUUCCUAGUUUUCUGUCUUCUUUUAGGAAAUUGAAUUGAAAAGGCAGGAUGAAGUGGACACAGCAUGUGAAGACAAUUCUUUCAAGAAGUUUGGCUGUCAAGGAAAAUAGAGAAUGUGCUAAAGACCAUAUAGACAGAGCAGACAGGUCACCCUUGCUACCAUAUGGAGGUUUGUCUAAUAUUGAAGCUGAAGAAGCUAAGCUGGAAGACAGAGAGACCAAGUCCUGAUGACAUUGUUUGAACCAAAGAUACAGACAUGUCUGAAAACUAGUUUUACCACUGGACUUAUCAGUUAAAUGAGCCAAUAAACUCUCUUUUAUACUUAA